Molecule: ribosomal RNA, 513 nt
Filed under: uncultured bacterium
Lineage: Bacteria
Description: partial 16S ribosomal RNA
Rfam family: Bacterial small subunit ribosomal RNA
Source: RNAcentral
GACGAACGCUGGCGGCAUGCCUAAUACAUGCAAGUCGAGCGAACAGAUGAAGUGCUUGCACUUCUGACGUUAGCGGCGAACGGGUGAGUAACACGUAAGGAAUCUACCUAUAAGCGGGGGAUAACAUUCGGAAACGGGUGCUAAUACCGCAUAAUAUCUUCUUCCGCAUGGAAGAAGAUUGAAAGACGGCUCUGCUGUCACUUAUAGAUGACCUUGCGGUGCAUUAGUUGGUUGGUGGGGUAACGGCCUACCAAGACGAUGAUGCAUAGCCGACCGUAGAGGGUGAUCGGCCACAUUGGGACUGAGACACGGCCCAAACUCCUACGGGAGGCAGCAGUAGGGAAUCUUCCGCAAUGGGCGAAAGCCUGACGGAGCAAUGCCGCGUGAGUGAAGAAGGCCUUCGGGUCGUAAAACUCUGUUGCCAGAGAAGAACGGCGGGUAGAGUAACUGCUAUCCGUGUGACGGUAUCUGAGAAGAAAGCCCCGGCUAACUACGUGCCAGCCGCCGCAGUAA